This 439-nucleotide ribosomal RNA is filed under the name uncultured bacterium. RNAcentral's name for it is "bacterial SSU rRNA". It matches the Rfam family "Bacterial small subunit ribosomal RNA", at positions 64 to 507 of the family's 1533-position model. The record is from RNAcentral.
GAACGUCCUCCCCGUUCUUUCGGGAGGGGGGAGGGAGUGGCGGACGGGUGAGCAACACAUGGGUGACCUGGCUCGAAGUGAGGGAUACCGGCGAGAAAUCGCCGACAAGCCCGCAUAGGCUCUCUCUUGUGGGUGAGCGAGAGCAAAGCUUUUUUUCGGAAGAGCGCUUUGAGAUGGGCCUGUGGCCGAUUAGCUGGUUGGUGGGGUAAGAGCCUACCAAGGCUGCGAUCGGUAGCUGGUCUGAGAGGACGAACAGCCACACUGGGAUUGAGAACGGCCCAGACUCCUACGGGGGGCAGCAGUGAGGAAUUUUCCGCAAUGGGCGCAAGCCUGACGGAGCAACGCCGCGUGCAGGAGGAGGCUCUUCGGAGUGUAAACUGCUUUUCUGUGGGACGAGCUUUGGACGGUACCACAGGAAGAAGCCCCGGCUAACUACGUG